Molecule: ribosomal RNA, 553 nt
Filed under: uncultured archaeon
Lineage: Archaea
Description: bacterial SSU rRNA
Rfam family: Archaeal small subunit ribosomal RNA
Source: RNAcentral
CGGGGUGCAGCAGGCGCGAAAACUUUACAAUGCCGGCAACGGCGAUAAGGGAACCUCGAGUGCCAGGUUACAAAUCUGGCUGUCGUGAUGCCUAAAAAGCAUUGCAUAGCAAGGGCCGGGCAAGACCGGUGCCAGCCGCCGCGGUAACACCGGCGGCUCGAGUGGUAACCGUUAUUAUUGGGUCUAAAGGGUCUGUAGCCGGCCGGGUAAGUCUCUUGGGAAAUCUGGCAGCUUAACUGUCAGGCUUUCAGGAGAUACUGCCUGGCUCGAGGCCGGGAGAGGUGAGAGGUACUUCAGGGGUAGGGGUGAAAUCUUGUAAUCCUUGAAGGACCACCAGUGGCGAAGGCGUCUCACCAGAACGGACCUGACGGCAAGGGACGAAAGCUAGGGGCACGAACCGGAUUAGAUACCCGGGUAGUCCUAGCCGUAAACGAUACUCGCUAGGUGUCGGCCACGGUGCGACCGUGGUCGGUGCCGUAGGGAAGCCGUGAAGCGAGCCACCUGGGAAGUACGGCCGCGAGGCUGAAACUUAAAGGAAUUGGCGGGGGAGCAC